RNAcentral lists this small nuclear RNA (118 nucleotides) under Vigna radiata var. radiata (mung bean). RNAcentral's name for it is "snRNA U5". It matches the Rfam family "U5 spliceosomal RNA". Rfam says of the family: U5 RNA is a component of both types of known spliceosome. The precise function of this molecule is unknown, though it is known that the 5' loop is required for splice site selection and p220 binding, and that both the 3' stem-loop and the Sm site are important for Sm protein binding and cap methylation. Lineage: Eukaryota; Viridiplantae; Streptophyta; Magnoliopsida; Fabales; Fabaceae. The record is from Rfam by way of RNAcentral.
AGCCAUGUAGUGAAUGCAAAGCGAACUAUUCUUUCGCCUUUUACUAAAGAAUACCGUGUGUUCUCUACUUAAAAUGGCAUACGAUAAUUUUUUUAAGAGGGCCUGCACUGUAGGCCCU